Molecule: long non-coding RNA, 2036 nt
Organism: Musa acuminata AAA Group (dessert banana)
Lineage: Eukaryota; Viridiplantae; Streptophyta; Magnoliopsida; Zingiberales; Musaceae
Exons: 6
Source: RefSeq, a predicted model, not a curated record
CUCUUCUUGAGUUCGUUGGUCGGCGGAGGAGGAGGCGACCGAGCAGAUUACGGUGAUGGUGGGGACGACGGAGGAGAGCGUGUCCGAGGAGACGUUGGAGUCGAUGGAGAAGGUGACGGGGGACCAUGGAGGAGCGCGACCUCCUAUCGGUCGCCUACGAGAACGUCGUCGGCACCAUCCGCGCCUCGAAUCGUCUCCUUCAUGAAGCAGAAGGAUCAGAGUUCGGUAACGGGUCGGCGUCGCCGGAUCCAUGGCUACUGAGCCAAGAUCCAGACCGAGCUUGGCAUCCUCUGCCUCGGCGCUGGUUUGAGGUUUACAAUGUCAUGAAGUGCCACGACCGACGCCUACCCGGCCGUGUUCAAGAUCGGCUUAGGCAAUAGCUACGCCGCCUACAGAUCCGUCCAGGGCGAGAUAAGGCCAUGCUGAGUCUUGGGGACAUUGGGAUGUCGAUCUGGCAGUCGCUUGCGAACCUUGCAAUAAGAUGAUGCUCAAGAUGACCGCCUAAGCAUCCAAUCACGUUGAGGCUGUGGCACAACUUUAAGGUGUUACAUCACUCUGCUGUCAGAUCCGUUGAUCAUUCAGGAGAAGCACAUCUUUAAGGCAUUUUACGGAGCAAUUGCAGGGCUGGAUACCCUAAGAGAGGAAUGCUAAGUUAUGUUUCAUCGUGCCAGCACUGGAAGAAUCCAAUUCAUUGUGGUGGAUGUGUUUUCAAUGGGAGGAUGGAGGAAAUGAGAUUAAAUAACCAACCAAACGUGAAACAAACAGUAGUUAUGAUUAGUAGUGUCAACCUGGUGACGUUGGUUUCGACAAUACCAGAAAUGGAGCAGGCAGUGAUCACCAAAACGUUUACUGAUAACAUCAUAUCAACAGACCUGGUCUCCUUGCUCGAUCAUCGUCAAUGAGAGGAAAGUUUUCCCAAGUGCCAGCGGCAAUAUCACAGUUGCCUCAAAAUACCUAAAGGAAUUGUCAGAGCCUGACAGGGUGAGUAUCGACACGCUGUACUGUUAAAUAAAGAUUGCUGAAUUGGCCGAUGUUCAUUUCACUUUUAUAGUCCAGCCUAAUUUCACCAAGGUACGACAUGCGAAUCUAUUCAUCUCUUUCUGUUGCUGUGAAGAAUUAAGUUUUACGUUCUUAAAUUUGUUGUAUAUCCACGAUCAAGCAAUACAGAUAGCCCCCGUCCUGACAUUUUUGGUGUGCUAUUUUGCAGUAUCUGAUGGUGUACUGUAGAUCGAUAAAUUUAUUGAACUUCAGCAAUCGAUUGGAUGCGAUAAACACGUGGAAGAAGCUAUAGUUUUGUUCCAUUCUCUGCUCUCCGUCUUGCAUAUAUCUCAGGCCUUCAAGUUGGCUACAUAUUAACCAUACAAAAAAUCUGGUUCUGUCGAAGGAAGCUGGAGGCUCCAUGGUUGAUCAAGGCCGUCCUUGUCGUUGUCCACUGCAAGAACGGUCGAUAUUGCUUCAGCCGGCGUCCCCUUGGUGUCGUUUGUGAUCGGACGGGAAGCAUUCGCUGAUACCCCCACCGAUCUGGCUCUGCCUUUGCCGACACUAAUCGGCAUGCGACAGAAUUCAGACAAUGAUAACGAAGGCUGUAGGUUCCCAUCAUGCACGGACGUUUGGUACCCGGGGACCAGUCAGAGAGGCGCACGUGUAAGGAGCAGGACGGCUGGAGUGACAGCUAAGUUCCGUAAGUUUUGAAGUUUUGGUACGAGUAUGAGACAGCAUGUCACCGGUGGGUCCGAUCCAAUCUAAACACACACGCCAGAGAAAGUGACGGUUGGUCAGCUGCUGUUGCUACGGCCUCAUUUCGGAUCUGCAAAACUCACAGGUGUGACAUAGGUUGGGCCUCUCCUACUUUUGGAACAUGCAUAGGUGACCGUGAACCGAGCCUUCCGCCCCCCCGACUGUGGUAGCUCAGUUCGUUUGGGACUGCAGGCGUUGUCACCGGUUGUUGACAGCCAAGCUGGUGUUGCUACUUCCACAUGGGGUAGGAUUGGUAAAUUACCCCUUCUCACUGUGCACCAGAGGGGUAAUUUCUGUGA